GACGAACGCUGGCGGCGUGCUUAACACAUGCAAGUCGAGCGGAAAGGCCUCUUUCGGGGGGUACUCGAGUGGCGAACGGGUGAGUAACACGUGAGUAACCUGCCCUUGACUUCGGGAUAACUUCAGGAAACUGGGGCUAAUACCGGAUAGGAGCUCCUGCUGCAUGGUGGGGGUUGGAAAGUUUCGGCGGUUGGGGAUGGACUCGCGGCUUAUCAGCUUGUUGGUGGGGUAGUGGCUUACCAAGGCUUUGACGGGUAGCCGGCCUGAGAGGGUGACCGGCCACAUUGGGACUGAGAUACGGCCCAGACUCCUACGGGAGGCAGCAGUGGGGAAUAUUGCACAAUGGGUGGAAGCCUGAUGCAGCAACGCCGUGUGCGGGAUGACGGCCUUCGGGUUGUAAACCGCUUUCGCUCAUGACGAAGCUUUGUGUGACGGUAGUGGGUAAAGAAGCACCGGCUAACUACGUG
Molecule: ribosomal RNA, 467 nt
Filed under: uncultured bacterium
Lineage: Bacteria
Description: partial 16S ribosomal RNA
Rfam family: Bacterial small subunit ribosomal RNA
Source: RNAcentral